GAUGAACGCUGGCAGCAUGCUUAACACAUCAGCAAUUGAUUGGUGGCGGACGGGUGAGUAACGCGUUAAGAACUUGCCUCCCAGCUAGGGACAAAAUUUGGAAACGAAUGCUAAUACCUAAUACUGUGCGAGAGCUUUGCGUACCAUUAGCUAGUUGGAGAGGUAACGGCUCACCAAGGCGAUGCUGGGUAGCCGGCCUGAGAGGGUGAUCGGCCACAAGGGGACUGAGACACGGCCCUUACUGCCACUGGAGGCAGCAGUGGGGAAUAUACGAGAAUUGACCAAAGUCUGAACCAGCAAUUCUGUGUGCACGAUGAAGUCUUAGGAAUGUAAAGCGCUGUCAGUUGGGAAGCGGUACCAACAGAAGAAGCGACGGCUAAAUACGUGCCAGCAGCCGCGGUAAUUC
RNAcentral lists this ribosomal RNA (406 nucleotides) under uncultured bacterium. Its description in RNAcentral is "partial 16S ribosomal RNA". It matches the Rfam family "Bacterial small subunit ribosomal RNA", at positions 28 to 526 of the family's 1533-position model. The record is from RNAcentral.